This is a long non-coding RNA of Papaver somniferum (opium poppy), 1839 nucleotides long. RefSeq lists it as uncharacterized. The record is from RefSeq and is a predicted model, not a curated record. The transcript is spliced from 2 exons. NCBI's taxonomy places the organism in Eukaryota, Viridiplantae, Streptophyta, Magnoliopsida, Ranunculales, Papaveraceae.
UCGAUUUUGGUUCACAGAAAUUGAGAGAAGAUUUGCUCCUUCUGAUGGUUGAGUGAAUAAUCCAGAGAUAUCAAGAAAUGAAAUCGACGAAUUUCAGAAAGAGAAUUUGUUUUGGGCUUGAUUGAUGUUGGUGAGUUUACUGAAUUCGUCGACGGAGAUUUGAAUUACUCACAGGUAGAUACAUAGAAAUUCAUGGGAGAUGUUGGAGGUUGUGAGGAAUUCGGUUGUUGAUUUUCAAGAAGGAGGGUAUUUAAUGAUGGUAGACUUGAUAUGGGUCUGAUGGAAAUGAGGAAUCUGAAGCUGAGAAGUGAAAUUCAAGCUAAGAUGGUGGAUUUGAAGAUGACAUGAACCUGGAUCGAGACAAGAACAAGGAAGCUGAUAUGAGUGGAAUGAAGAGAUGAUGAAGCUGCUGUUAAGAAAUUAGCUAUGGAAAAGAGAAUCUAGGGUUCCUGAAACUGCAAUUAGGGCAUGGUGUUGUUGCUGAUGGUUUGUGGUAAUUGAUGGAGAUAAAUGGUGGAGAUUCAUGGGCAUUCGGAAGUCCAUAAAGUUCAGAAGAAUGGGUUCUGUUCGAAUUGGAUCUGGGAUUUGAAUUUGAGUUGCAGGGAAUGAAUUUAGGUUAUGAAUUGAUAGUGUGAAUUGCAGGGUCUAAUUGGGUUUGCAGAGAUGAUGCUGCUAAGUGAUGCCGGUAAGGAUGCAAUUGCGAUGGUUGAGGCUGAUGUUCUUGUUGGUGCAGCUGCAGCAAUGGGUGUUAUGGAGUUUAUGUUGUAGUUUGGUGGUGAUGUACAAGAUAUGUUGCAGCUGAACUGAAAUGGGUGUUGCAGUGGUGGUUGAAGUGCAAGUGCUGGUGGUAUCGCUUCUGCGGUUCAAGUUGUAAUUCUACACACUCAAAAUCUUCAAAACAAUUUUACUGUAAGGUCUGACAUGAUUGCUGAUUAGUGUUGGAAUUAGAUUCUAAGGUUUUGAGUGAAAACAGUCCAGUUUUUGCUAAUUUGAUUGUUGAUUGUCAUAAGAAUUCUGGGGGUUUGUCGAAUUUGUGUAGAAUUGAGGUUCAUGAGGUUGAGAAUUUGAGGGUUUACCAUCAGACUAUUGAGCUUAUGUUUGCAGAUGAUAUUAUGAAGAGUUUUGUUCAAAAGGGUGUUUUGAAAUCAAUUGACGCACUUGAGAUGUUGUUCAAUUGCAGAGGGUUUGAUAUUUUCUUGUGGGAAAGGUGGGGUUCAUGAAGAUACCACACAAAUUCUCUUGCACAUGACAGAGAAAGGAGUUGUGCCAAGUUUUGAAGUGUAUGCAGGAAGUUUAAAGCUUAUGGACAGGCUGCAUUGUAUGAGGAGGCUCUCGUAGUGUUCAACACGAUGCAUGAAGUUGGGAGCAGGGCAACUGUUGAAAUAUACAAUUCGCUGAAACAUACAUUUGGUAGGGGUGGGUUAUAUAAGGAAUGUCAAACGAUACUAUAUAAGAUGGGUGAGAAAGUGUGGCUAAGAAUACUGACACGUUUAAUGGAUUUGUGGGGCUUUUUGACAAGGAGGUCGGUUUGAGGAUGUGCUGAAGCCUUACGUAGAAAUGGAAAAGGAAAGAUGUAUUCCAAAUGAAUGGAUCCUUGAGGAAGUUUAAAUGUUUAUUGCUCUGCAGCUCUUGUUAAUAAGAGCAAGGGCAAUUCAAUAAAUUAAAUCUUUAAAAACGUGCCAAGCGGCAUGCACUACUGCAUGUUGCAGUCGGUUUAUGCACAAAGGUGACAGGUCUGUAUUCAAUGUUCUCUUAUUCAUUCCUGGUGGUGUACACAUUUGAAGUACCUGCAGAUAACUUUGUAUAUCCUUACGCAUUACAUGAAUGAUCGAGUAUUUU